RNAcentral lists this ribosomal RNA (253 nucleotides) under uncultured bacterium. RNAcentral describes it as "partial 16S ribosomal RNA". It matches the Rfam family "Bacterial small subunit ribosomal RNA", at positions 524 to 776 of the family's 1533-position model. The record is from RNAcentral.
UACGAACCGUGCGAACGUUGUUCGGAAUCACUGGGCUUAAAGGGCGCGUAGGCGGGCCUUCAAGUCCGGGGUGAAAUCUUUCGGCUCAACCGGAAAAGUGCCUUGGAUACUGGUGGUCUUGAGUGAGGUAGGGGCAUGGGGAACUUCCGGUGGAGCGGUGAAAUGCGUUGAUAUCGGAAGGAACUCCGGUGGCGAAAGCGACGUGCUGGACCUCUUCUGACGCUGAGGCGCGAAAGCUAGGGGAGCGAACGGG